GGGCCAGUAGGUUGGUCGUGCCACCGGUACGUACUGGUCUCACUGAUUCCUCCUUCCUGAAGAACCGUAAUGCCAUUAAUUUGGUGUUGCGGGGAAACAGGACUGUUACUUUGAAAAAAUUAGAGUGUUUAAAGCAAGCUAACGCUUGAAUACAUUAGCAUGGAAUAAUGAAAUAGGACGAUCGAUCCUAUUUUGUUGGUUUCUAGGAUUGACGUA
This 216-nucleotide ribosomal RNA is filed under the name Glomeromycotina sp. Its description in RNAcentral is "partial small subunit ribosomal RNA". The stretch from base 40 to 216 matches the Rfam family "Eukaryotic small subunit ribosomal RNA", at positions 686 to 864 of the family's 1831-position model. Lineage: Eukaryota; Fungi; Glomeromycota. The record is from RNAcentral.